This 253-nucleotide ribosomal RNA is filed under the name uncultured bacterium. Its description in RNAcentral is "partial 16S ribosomal RNA". It matches the Rfam family "Bacterial small subunit ribosomal RNA", at positions 524 to 776 of the family's 1533-position model. The record is from RNAcentral.
UACGUAGGGGGCAAGCGUUGUCCGGAAUCAUUGGGCGUAAAGAGCGUGUAGGCGGCCCGAUAAGUCCGCCGUGAAAGCCCAGGGCUCAACCCUGGGAUGCCGGUGGAUACUGUCGGGCUAGAAUCCGGAAGAGGCGAGUGGAAUUCCUGGUGUAGCGGUGAAAUGCGCAGAUAUCAGGAGGAACACCGAUGGCGAAGGCAGCUCGCUGGGACGUUACUGACGCUGAGACGCGAAAGCGUGGGGAGCAAACAGG